RNAcentral lists this ribosomal RNA (436 nucleotides) under uncultured bacterium. RNAcentral's name for it is "partial 16S ribosomal RNA". It matches the Rfam family "Bacterial small subunit ribosomal RNA", at positions 338 to 795 of the family's 1533-position model. The record is from RNAcentral.
CCUACGGGGGGCAGCAGUGGGGAAUAUUGCACAAUGGGGGAAACCCUGAUGCAGCAACGCCGCGUGAGUGAAGAAGUAUUUCGGUAUGUAAAGCUCUAUCAGCAGUGAAUUGACGGUACCUGCAAAGGAAGCACCGGCUAACUCUGUGCCAGCAGCCGCGGUAAUACGGAGGGUGCGAGCGUUAAUCGGAAUUACUGGGCGUACAGCGCCCGUAGGCGGGAGGUCAAGUGAAGGGUGAAAUCCCCGGGCUCAAGGUGGGAACUGCUUUUGAAACUGGCAAACUGGAGUGUGUGAGAGGAUAGUGGAAUUCCAGGUGUAGGAGUGAAAUCCGUAGAUAUCUGGAGGAACAUCAGUGGCGAAGGCGACUAUCUGGCACAUAACUGACGCUGAGGAGCGAAAGCGUGGGUAGCAAACAGGAUUAGAUACCCGAGUAGUC